This 111-nucleotide ribosomal RNA is filed under the name uncultured eukaryote. RNAcentral describes it as "partial small subunit ribosomal RNA". The record is from RNAcentral.
UCGCUACUACUGAUUGGACGAUUAAGCAAGAACUUCGGAAUCUCUUUGUCGCGACUUCGGUUGAUGACAAGGAAGGGAAGAGGAUCAAGCUUAUUCAUCUAGAGGAAGUAA